Molecule: ribosomal RNA, 116 nt
Filed under: Pogona vitticeps (central bearded dragon)
Lineage: Eukaryota; Metazoa; Chordata; Lepidosauria; Squamata; Agamidae
Source: RNAcentral
CUAGCCUGCAUGACUGAACACAGUACGCUGAACAUACAGUUAUCCUGUGAUUUCAAAAGCUAAGCAGGUUCAGCCUGAUUAGAACUUGGAGGGGAGACCACCAGGGAAUUCUAGGG